CCGAGUUAGGGUUGCCCCCGCGCGCCCGACCUCCAACCCUUUGUCUACCCGACCUUAUUGUUGCUUCGGCAGGCCCGCCGCCCCUCGUGGGUGGCCGCCGGGGGCUUAACCAGCCCCGGGCCCGCGCCUGUCGACGGCCCCAACCACAAACUCUUGUACCUAAACGUGUCGUCUGAGUUAACAAACAAAAUAAAUUA
Molecule: unclassified non-coding RNA, 197 nt
Filed under: soil metagenome
Description: partial internal transcribed spacer 1
Source: RNAcentral